RNAcentral lists this ribosomal RNA (550 nucleotides) under uncultured bacterium. RNAcentral describes it as "bacterial SSU rRNA". It matches the Rfam family "Bacterial small subunit ribosomal RNA", at positions 355 to 896 of the family's 1533-position model. The record is from RNAcentral.
UAGGGAAUCUUCGGCAAUGGACGGAAGUCUGACCGAGCAACGCCGCGUGAGUGAAGAAGGUUUUCGGAUCGUAAAGCUCUGUUGUAAGAGAAGAACGAGUAUGAGAGUGGAAAGUUCACACUGUGACGGUAUCUUACCAGAAAGGGACGGCUAACUACGUGCCAGCAGCCGCGGUAAUACGUAGGUCCCGAGCGUUGUCCGGAUUUAUUGGGCGUAAAGCGAGCGCAGGCGGUUAGAUAAGUCUGAAGUUAAAGGCUGUGGCUUAACCAUAGUACGCUUUGGAAACUGUUUAACUUGAGUGCAAGAGGGGAGAGUGGAAUUCCAUGUGUAGCGGUGAAAUGCGUAGAUAUAUGGAGGAACACCGGUGGCGAAAGCGGCUCUCUGGCUUGUAACUGACGCUGAGGCUCGAAAGCGUGGGGAGCAAACAGGAUUAGAUACCCUGGUAGUCCACGCCGUAAACGAUGAGUGCUAGGUGUUAGACCCUUUCCGGGGUUUAGUGCCGCAGCUAACGCAUUAAGCACUCCGCCUGGGGAGUACGACCGCAAGGUUG